CAAAACCCUAUAUAUGUUUUCCUCUCAUGCGUUGGUUUUGCUUCGGAGCUCUUCCAACAGAUUUGAGGUGCAAACAUCUCAUGGAAGUCGAUUCCUUCAAUUUGAGUGUAGCUUUUAGCAACAAGACAACUUUUGCAAUGCUCGAUGCUCUCAUCCAAUUUAUACUUGACUUUGUAAACCCAUUUGGAAUCAAUAACCUUCCUUUCAAGAGGUAAAUAUUCUAAAAUUCAAGUAUUAUUUGCUUCUAAUGCAGAAAUUUUCUUAGUCAUUACAUCUCUCCGAUGUUGAAAUUUGACUGCUUGAGAAAGUGACUUUGGCUCAUCAUUUGAUGUAAUGGCCACUAGAAAAGUAGUGUUAGUAGCAGAAAAGUUUGAAUAAUAAAUAAAUUGUGAAAGAUGAUAUAUCGUCAAGUUUGUUAAUAAAAGAGGGGAGAGUGAUGUACAAUUUGUGGGAGCAAAA
Long non-coding RNA from Carica papaya (papaya), 459 nucleotides. RefSeq lists it as uncharacterized. The record is from RefSeq and is a predicted model, not a curated record. Lineage: Eukaryota; Viridiplantae; Streptophyta; Magnoliopsida; Brassicales; Caricaceae.